CAGCCGCCGCGGUAAUACGUAGGGGGCGAGCGUUGUCCGGAAUUAUUGGGCGUAAAGCGCGCGCAGGCGGUCCUUUAAGUCUGAUGUGAAAGCCCACGGCUCAACCGUGGAGGGUCAUUGGAAACUGGGGGACUUGAGUGCAGGAGAGGAGAGCGGAAUUCCACGUGUAGCGGUGAAAUGCGUAGAGAUGUGGAGGAACACCAGUGGCGAAGGCGGCUCUCUGGCCUGUAACUGACGCUGAGGCGCGAAAGCGUGGGGAGCAAACAGGAUUAGAUACCCUGGUAGUCCACGCCGUAAACGAUGAGUGCUAAGUGUUAGAGGGGUCACACCCUUUAGUGCUGCAGCUAACGCGAUAAGCACUCCGCCUGGGGAGUACGGCCGCAAGGCUGAAACUUAAAGGAAUUGGCGGG
This 410-nucleotide ribosomal RNA is filed under the name uncultured microorganism. RNAcentral's name for it is "bacterial SSU rRNA". It matches the Rfam family "Bacterial small subunit ribosomal RNA", at positions 509 to 917 of the family's 1533-position model. The record is from RNAcentral.